RNAcentral lists this ribosomal RNA (390 nucleotides) under Eryx conicus (Rough-tailed sand Boa). RNAcentral's name for it is "partial small subunit ribosomal RNA". The record is from RNAcentral. Lineage: Eukaryota; Metazoa; Chordata; Lepidosauria; Squamata; Erycidae.
GGCACUAACAAUACAUAGUUGCUCGCCAAACAACUACGAGUGAAAACUUAAAACUUAAAAGACUUGACGGUACUUCACCCAACCUAGAGGAGCCUGUCCACUAACCGAUAAUCCACGAUUAACCCAACCACUUCUGGCCACCCAGCCUAUAUACCGCCGUCGCCAGCCUACCUUGUGAAAGAAACCUAGUAGACAAAAUAGUAUUUCACUAACACGACAGGUCGAGGUGUAGCUUAUGAAGCGGACAGGAUGGGCUACAUUUUCUAACACAGACAAAACGUACAAAAUUAUGAAACUAAUUCAAAAGGCGGAUUUAGCAGUAAGCUAAGAACAUAAUACUAAGCUGAAACCAAUGCAAUGAAGUGCGUACACACCGCCGGUCACCCUCCA